GUUUUCCUAAUGAAAUAGUCAACAGUGCAUUUUAGAAGGACUGUCAUCACAUAUUUUUCCUAAAGAAAAAUAAUGGGGUUAUGAUUUCAUGGAUCUGGUAAGCGGAAUGAAAGCCUUCCUCAGCAUCUCAUGCAUAACAUAUUCAUAAGAGGGGCCUCAAAGAGUUUCAGUAGAUGUGAUCAAGAAAAGGGUGAUACUUUUUGUCCCCAAUAUGUGAUAAAAAAAUAAUAUCAAUCCUCAACACUAAUUCAAAUAUCCAGCAUAUGUAAGUCUUGAAAUCCAGAGCUAUAUGGCCAGCAGUAAAUUCAUACAGAUAUUUUAUAAAAGCGUAAGGAUAAAUAUUAACAAUCAUCAUGUUAAGAAUAAAAUUUUUCUUUUAUAUGUCACUUGGAUAAAUACAGUUGACAUAUAAUGUGAAGAGGAAAGAAAACUAUGAGCUGAAACUGAUUGGGAACAAUUUUCAUGUCAGAAAUUCCAGUUCAUCUAGGAACUCAUUUUAAAGAAGAAUUGGAAGCACUAAACUUAGGACUCCAAAGAAUCUUAUUUCAAGUACCAACAAGUCAUUUUGACUUGCAUUCUGAACUCCAUAUAAAUCAAAACAAGUCAUUUUGACAGUGUUCUGUCAAGACUAUUAGCAGUAAUUAAUCUAUUCCCAGGAAACAUUUCAAUUUCAGCAGGAAAUGAGACCUGUCAAGGUUGUUGAUGGCUCUAGCAGAAGCACUGCAAGGAAAAGCUCUCCUCCCUCAGAGGCCUCGUGUGACCAUUUCUGUAUGUUUAUUAAAAAAGUAUUUCAUCUGUCUGCACUGUAGCAUGCAAUUUACUGCUGUGGUUAGCAGUGGAUGGAUUUUGUAUUAUAUACACCAAUUUGUAAAAGUCAGCAUUGUAGAGAAGAAACGUAAAUUCAUCUUGGAGUUAUGUUAAUAUCUGCAGCACUCAUACGUUCAGAACCCAGACUUCCAAGGAAAGCUAGACAGAAGCAACAGUCUCAGCUCUACUGGAAAACAAACCCCAAAACCUUCUAAUUAUCUUAAAUUCCCAAAGACUGGCCAUUUCUAAAUUGUUAUGACUCUCUUUUCAGGCUUACACUAUACAGCAUCUGUCUGCCACCCAGAUUUUCAACACAAAUGUUGAGGACAGACAUAGAUGCAGACAGAUACUUUGUGCUUAUUGAGACAGAUCAUGGUGAAGGCUUAUGAUUUCCACUCAGUAGCCAGCUCAGCUUCUUAAAAAGUAACAGUUCCUUUCUUUGCAGCCCUGUGCAUCAAAUCGUUCUUUCCGACACACAAAACAUUUUCUGUUGAAUUCAUCACACAAUGUUUGCUUUGUGUAAUACCCCUCAUUACACAUCUAUUUUUUUGGCCCAGGAGAUCCCUCGCUGACAGAUAGGAAUUCCUUCUAAAAGUUAAGACUUGGAGUCCCUCCUGCUCUGGCUUCAACCAGCUUCUCUGCCCUAGCACCUCCAUUUUACACCAUUAUCCCUAGCUUCCCCAGUAGAGACUGCAGUAGUCCCCACUGCUACAUUACCAUAGCCAUAAGUUCAAGAGAUGCAUCUGGAACUCUUUCAUUUGGAGAGGAGAAGGCUCAGAGGGGAUCUCAUCACUGUUUAUAACUAAAGGGCAGAAGCCAAGCCAUUGGGAUGGACUCUUUUUGGAGAUGUACAGCACUAUAAAGGGCAACGGGCACAAACUGUAACACGGGAAGUUUCAUACUGAGAAACAUGGUGACAGACCAUUAGAGUAGCAGGCAGCCAUCAGUCAGGCCUGGCUGUUCCUCAGCAUUUCUCCUCUCCAUCAAGUAACCAAGUACUGCCUGAACUUAUAAUAGGUUGCUCUGUCCAGCACAGAAUUUUUCACUUUAGAGUUUGCCGUGCUGCAUCACCUGUUGUUUCCCAGCUACACUGCAUUUUCCCAUCCUGUCCCCAGCCUGCAUCUUUCCAGCACAUGCCUGUAAAGAUUAAGGCUUAGUAGAGCCUUCAGUGUGAUGAGAGCACCCUUGGAGGCCUUGGAGUUUUAAGACAUGGCCUUAACUCAUCAUUUUCCAGUUAGAGCUGAAGGCAGUUGCCUAGGCAACAACUCUGAUUCAUCAGCAGUGAAUUGUCAGGGCAACCGCCUCUGGCCAAGCCUGAACAGCAACGCUGUGGAGCAGAACAGCUGCCAGGCAUGGAGAGCUGCCCCCCAAAACUGCAAGUUAAAAGUUCCUGCACCAAAACCUUUUUAGACUGAAGGAUGAGAAUAUGAUUUUGGACAAAAAUAUUCAUCCAGUGGCCCUGAAAGCUUUCUAGGAUACCCAGAGGACAUCAGAAGAAUCUCAUCAGAGGUGUGUCCUUCACAGCUACAGGACAUGCAGGAUGGUGGAGAUAGCACAGAGAACGCUGACAGCUCACAGGGAGCGUCACAGAGGGAACUUCUUUGGAAACAUCCAAUUCUAGAGACUUCUUCUGAUGUCUGAUAAGAAAUAUUCUUUCCAUGCCUGGGCAAGUGAGAUGUCCACAUCUUCACUCAAGCCCCUGCUCUCAGAACCAGAAGAGAGAAUCCAAGCUCCCUCCUCUCAACAGCAUUUCAAGAAGUCAGUGAAGCAGCAAGGCUCCACUGCCUGCUUAGCCAUCACUGCCACUGUUUCUCCCCAGCCCUGCACAAGGCCAAUUACUUCUACACAGAGCUCUGCUGCUCUCCCUUUAGGCACCACAGCCUCCCCCAGUGCCUCUCUGCUGGCAGCACAUGAGGAUUUCCUGAACAGGCAUGCUCCCAAGUGCAAUUAGCAGCAAACACCAUUAAUGGUCUGUAGACUGGCUUGAUUUCAGCUUAUAGAGGCUCUCCUGUUUUUAUUUACUCUCGUACAUGCUGACAAAUCCUCUCCUGGGAUAAGCAUCUCCCAGGCUUUACUUAUUUGCUGUGUUCGCCAUAGCAUCCCUUCUGCCUUCUUUGUAGCAAAAAGCUACAGAGCUGUAAGUGGAUUUUUUUUGGCAGCUGACACCACUUCUGAUGCAAAACAUCGGUCAACUGGAAACCAAACUCUUACUGAAUCACCUUCAGGCAAUACAGCCAUCAUUUCCCUGCUGCUUCUUUGACACAUCCUUGUAUUUCUCCAAAGGAAGAGGUUGGGCAAAGAGGGCAAGAUGCAGGCUGCACACGCAUGACCACCAGCAGGCAUCUCCCUCACCUCAAAGGAGUUCAGCUUGCUCUCAGCUCCCAUCCAGCUGACUGGAGGAUGAGGAACUGCAUUGAGUGCUCAGGAGGGACAAGUUCCCCACACAGGUACCUGCACCCACAGUUUGAAUUGUGCUGAGAGCAUAGCUGCAGUGAAGAGAAAAUGCGUAAAACUUAAUCCCUACAGUCAACAGUGGUUAAAAUACCCCUCCAAAUAAACAUGCAAACAUAUAUAAACUUAGCAGAGGGUGUGACCAGAGCCCAAGGCCUCUCAGCAGCACAUCACAGGCUCUUCAGUCUGUACUGCUAGAUCAAGAUGGAGAGCAACAUCAGCAACAUAAGUCCCUAAAAUAGAGUAAUGCUUCUCGUCUCUUCA
Meleagris gallopavo (turkey) is the source of this 3522-nucleotide non-coding RNA. The record is from RefSeq and is a predicted model, not a curated record. Lineage: Eukaryota; Metazoa; Chordata; Aves; Galliformes; Phasianidae.